Molecule: ribosomal RNA, 433 nt
Filed under: uncultured bacterium
Lineage: Bacteria
Description: partial 16S ribosomal RNA
Rfam family: Bacterial small subunit ribosomal RNA
Source: RNAcentral
AACGAACGCUGGCGGCAUGCCUAACACAUGCAAGUCGAACGAGACCUUCGGGUCUAGUGGCGCACGGGUGCGUAACGCGUGGGAACCUGCCCUUAGGUUCGGAAUAACUCCCCGAAAGGGGUGCUAAUACCGGAUAAUGUCUUCGGACCAAAGAUUUAUCGCCUUUGGAUGGGCCCGCGUUGGAUUAGCUAGUUGGUAGGGUAAAAGCCUACCAAGGCGACGAUCCAUAGCUGGUCUGAGAGGAUGAUCAGCCACACUGGGACUGAGACACGGCCCAGACUCCUACGGGAGGCAGCAGUGGGGAAUAUUGGACAAUGGGCGAAAGCCUGAGCCAGCAAUGCCGCGUGAGUGAUGAAGGCCUUAGGGUUGUAAAGCUCCUUUACCCGGGAUGAUAAUGACAGUACCGGGAGAAUAAGCGCCGGCUAACUCCGUG